RNAcentral lists this ribosomal RNA (469 nucleotides) under Granulicatella adiacens. RNAcentral describes it as "bacterial SSU rRNA". It matches the Rfam family "Bacterial small subunit ribosomal RNA", at positions 28 to 478 of the family's 1533-position model. The record is from RNAcentral. Lineage: Bacteria; Bacillati; Bacillota; Bacilli; Lactobacillales; Carnobacteriaceae.
GACGAACGCUGGCGGCGUGCCUAAUACAUGCAAGUCGAACGAGAGCGACCGGUGCUUGCACUGGUCAAUCUAGUGGCGAACGGGUGAGUAACACGUGGGUAACCUGCCCAUCAGAGGGGGAUAACAUCCGGAAACGAAUGCUAAAACCGCAUAGGUCUUCGAACCGCAUGGUUUGAAGAGGAAAAGAGGCGCAAGCUUCUGCUGAUGGAUGGACCCGCGGUGCAUUAGCUAGUUGGUGAGGUAACGGCUCACCAAGGCCGUGAUGCAUAGCCGACCUGAGAGGGUGAUCGGCCACAUUGGGACUGAGACACGGCCCAAACUCCUACGGGAGGCAGCAGUAGGGAAUCUUCCGCAAUGGACGCAAGUCUGACGGAGCAACGCCGCGUGAGUGAAGAAGGUUUUCGGAUCGUAAAACUCUGUUGUUAGAGAAGAACAAGUGCUAGAGUAACUGUUAGCGCCUUGACGGUAU